RNAcentral lists this ribosomal RNA (499 nucleotides) under uncultured bacterium. RNAcentral's name for it is "partial 16S ribosomal RNA". It matches the Rfam family "Bacterial small subunit ribosomal RNA", at positions 899 to 1397 of the family's 1533-position model. The record is from RNAcentral.
ACUCAAAUGAAUAGACGGGGGCCCGCACAAGCGGUGGAUUAUGUGGUUUAAUUCGAUGCAACGCGCAAAACCUUACCUGGGCUUGACAUCCCGCGCAUAGCCGUGAAAGCGGUGAAAUCCCUUCGGGGACGCGGUGACAGGUGCUGCAUGGCUGUCGUCAGCUCGUGUCGUGAGAUGUUGGGUUAAGUCCCGCAACGAGCGCAACCCUUGUCUUUAGUUGCCAGCAUUAAGUUGGGCACUCUAGAGAGACCGCUUGCCGAUAAGGCAGAGGAAGGUGGGGAUGACGUCAAGUCCGCAUGGCCCUUACGCCCAGGGCUACACACGUAAUACAAUGGACGGCACAGAGCGUCGCAAUACCGCAAGGUGGAGCUAAUCGCAGAAAACCGUUCUCAGUUCGGAUUGCUCUCUGCAACUCGAGAGCAUGAAGCUGGAAUCGCUAGUAAUCGCGGAUAAGUAUGCCGCGGUGAAUACGUUCCCGGGCCUUGUACACACCGCCCGU